UGUAUUCACUACUGUAAGUCGCUCUGGAUAAGAGUGUCUGCUAAAUGACGCCAA
Molecule: non-coding RNA, 54 nt
Organism: Salmo salar (Atlantic salmon)
Lineage: Eukaryota; Metazoa; Chordata; Actinopteri; Salmoniformes; Salmonidae
Source: Rfam